GCGGUACCAAAAAUGCCUCUUAUGUGCGGCGGUGGAAGCGAAGCCAAAGCAUCUCAAAUCCGCCAUUUCGCUCCCCCAACUAGUUUUACCUUUCUCAUUUUCCCCCAGACCCCAAUAAACUCGUCUCAGUCUCAUAAAAAUGCCAGGAUUUGAGAUAUGGCCGAGAAAUUCACAAUCCCAAACUCCAUCCUCAAUAGAUUUAACUCCCAGCUCUUCUAGCUCAUCCACUCUCGGUGGCAUAUUUCUGGAGCCCACCGUUUAUUCUUCUACUGUUAAUUUUAUUUCUCAUAAAUGCUCUUCAAUCACUAUUUCAAAUCCCAUUUCCUUUUAUAAACACGCGAAUUUCGGGGGCUUAAAGAGAGGAAGGAGGAGUAGAGGUAUUAAUGAAGUGGUGGUUAGUGGUGUUUUUCUGUCAGUGAGCUUGAGAAAUGAUGGGCUCCUGCAGGAAUCUAAGGUGUGUUUGGUUCAAAACGAAGAUAGCAAGAGCCUGGAGGAGGAGGAUAAGGUGGCAGAGGGAGGUAAUAUUGUUUUGGAGAGUAAAGAGAACCGGAAGGUUAAGGCGCGAGGAGGUUUUGCUAUGAAUACCACUAAGCAUCUGUGGGCUGGUGCCAUUGCUGCCAUGGUUUCAAGAACUUGUGUGGCACCGCUUGAGCGAUUAAAACUGGAAUAUAUAGUUCGCGGUGAGCAAAAGAAUAUUGUUGAGCUAAUCAAGACAAUUGCUACUACUCAAGGCUUGAAGGGUUUUUGGAAAGGGAAUCUUGUUAACAUUCUUCGCACUGCUCCAUUUAAAGCGGUCAAUUUUUGUGCUUAUGACACAUAUCGGAAGCAACUGCUUAGAUUCUCAGGAAAUGAGGAAACAACGAAUUUCGAAAGGUUCAUUGCUGGUGCUGGUGCUGGCAUUACUGCGACAAUUCUCUGUUUACCACUUGACACGAUCCGGACCAAGAUAGUUGCACCUGGUGGAGAAGCUUUGGGUGGUGUAAUUGGUGCUUUUCGCCACAUGAUACAAACUGAAGGUUUCUUUUCACUUUACAAGGGCUUAGUACCUUCUAUCUUAAGUGUGGCACCAUCAGGGGCAGUUUUCUAUGGUGUGUAUGACAUACUGAAAUCAGCUUAUCUUCAUUCACCGGAAGGUCAGAAGAGACUUCAGUAUAUGAGCCAUCACGGGCAGGAAUUAAAUGCCUUGGACCAACUGGAGUUGGGACCAAUCAGGACAUUAGUGUAUGGGGCAAUUGCUGGUGCUUGUGCAGAAUUUUCUACAUACCCAUUUGAAGUUGUGAGGAGACGGCUUCAAUUGCAAGUCCGGGCUACCAAGAUGAGUGCAUUGGUGACCUGUGUCAAGAUAGUUGAGCAAGGAGGAAUUCCAGCUCUUUAUGCUGGACUGUUUCCCAGCCUGCUGCAGGUACUUCCUUCAGCUGCAAUUAGUUACUUCGUCUAUGAGUUUAUGAAGAUUGUUCUCAAAGUGGAAUGACAGAGGAAAUAUGAUCUAUUAGAGAAAACUUGUAGGUGGCAUGUAUACUAGUGGCUCAAGAUGAGCACUGGAUAUAAAUCAGAAUGUGAGGGCUGGUGGUGGGAAAUCGAUAUCAAAAGAUGCGGAAGACUGGCUUCCGACAAAAAGAUUGUUUUGACCAGGCAGUUAUGAAUCUCAUCUCCAUCCCGAUAUGAUAUGAACAGUGUUGCAAGCUUAGCCCAAUCUUUCGAGUAACAUUUUGAUGAUUACUUCAUCGUAGAUUUUUUUAUUUCGAUUACACUUGGAUACUUUUGUUGAGGUAAUCCAUGGUGAAGUUCCGCCAAAUUUGAAAUUGCACUUA
This is an RNA transcript of Populus trichocarpa (black cottonwood), 1811 nucleotides long. It is a transcript of the gene named probable mitochondrial adenine nucleotide transporter BTL3, with no coding region annotated. Lineage: Eukaryota; Viridiplantae; Streptophyta; Magnoliopsida; Malpighiales; Salicaceae. The record is from RefSeq and is a predicted model, not a curated record. The transcript is spliced from 5 exons.